AGCACCUGAUGCAGCCAUGCCGCGUGUGUGAAGAAGGCCUUCGGGUUGUAAAGCACUUUCAGUUGUGAGGAAAGGUUGGUAGUUAAUACCUGCCAGCUGUGACGUUAACAACAGAAGAAGCACCGGCUAACUCCGUGCCAGCAGCCGCGGUAAU
Molecule: ribosomal RNA, 154 nt
Filed under: Aestuariibacter sp.
Lineage: Bacteria; Pseudomonadati; Pseudomonadota; Gammaproteobacteria; Alteromonadales; Alteromonadaceae
Description: partial 16S ribosomal RNA
Rfam family: Bacterial small subunit ribosomal RNA
Source: RNAcentral